RNAcentral lists this unclassified non-coding RNA (247 nucleotides) under Hevea brasiliensis (rubber tree). Lineage: Eukaryota; Viridiplantae; Streptophyta; Magnoliopsida; Malpighiales; Euphorbiaceae. The record is from RNAcentral.
CAGCAAGUAUGCGGCCUCUGAUAGAAACAUUACCAGUAAAUGGGCACUUCUUAUCAAUAUAAGUCCCUUCAAUUGCCUCUCUGGGUGUCUUAAAGCCCAAUCCAAUGCUCUUCCAAAACCGAUUGCCUCCCUUUCCAGGCUCUUUCCUUUCCCCGACUUCUUCGAGCUCAAGAAUACCUUAGGCUGCUUCAGAAAUGCCUUCUCUGUCUGCUCGGCCAUGGCUAGCGAUAGCGGAAAUUCGCCGAGC